Alosa sapidissima (American shad) is the source of this 291-nucleotide long non-coding RNA. RefSeq lists it as uncharacterized. The transcript is spliced from 3 exons. NCBI's taxonomy places the organism in Eukaryota, Metazoa, Chordata, Actinopteri, Clupeiformes, Clupeidae. The record is from RefSeq and is a predicted model, not a curated record.
GUCUACAUGCGACUUUGGUCUAUGAGUGAUAUAAGUGAUAUUUGCAGUGAUAUGUGGUGAAAGCACAUUUCAGAUUGCCUGUAGAAAUUUGCUACGCCCGUCCCCCGACUAACUCUAUGCAAGGGAACCAGACAAUGGAAACUGAUCUUUGGCUACGUGACUUUUCAAACAGUGACCUCCCCUCACCGUCCUUUGGAUUCACUUUUACAAAAGCAAUGUAGCUCUGCGAUCCUUGGGCCCUGGAUACUGAUGUCCACAUCUCCAUGCCCAAAGCUCGUCCUGCCUGAACAA